Molecule: long non-coding RNA, 1424 nt
Organism: Oreochromis niloticus (Nile tilapia)
Lineage: Eukaryota; Metazoa; Chordata; Actinopteri; Cichliformes; Cichlidae
Exons: 6
Source: RefSeq, a predicted model, not a curated record
GGAUGCCGGCCCUUGAGGCCUAGAGUUGGACACCCCUGACUUAGGGAGUAGUUGAUGCAACUCAGAGUUCAGUAUAUUGGCUUUCGACAUGCAAGUUGGAGGAGCCAGGGAUUAAGCCAUGAACCUCCCAAUUAGUCAAUCACGCACUCUACAGGAGGUAGACUGGCUGUGGCUCAGAAUUACAGAGGUGAACAACAAAUGGCACAUACAUGCUGGCGAGGCAGAACAAGCAGUUCUGAAGGCAAAGGGGGUCCACACCAGUACGAGUGAGGUGUACCUAAUAAAGUGACUGAGCUCCAGCUGGUGCUUUAGCCCUUUUCCCUGAAGCGUGCCGUCAUGUUUACAUCUUGCUGAGGUACAGACGGCGAUCUUGAUUAUAGACAGAUGCUGACUGAAAUAUUAUCUCCAGAGCUACAGUUCUUUACUGCUUUUCAGUUCUCUGCCAACACAAGAAUGACUGUAAUUGCACUCCAAGAAGUCCUAGUGCCAUGUUAAAAGAAAUGUGAAACAUACAUGUCCCUGUUUUGAGACGCUGAUUGUACUCUCUUCAGGAGUCUUGCAUUAGAGGUCAGGUUUCUGAUUAUGAAGCACAGUUAAUGCACUUCUGUUUUAAAAUGUGCUGUGAAACUCGAUAUCUUACAUGAAAGAGCUGCUUGUUCAAAUGUGCGUCACAGACGUCAGUCGCUUUAAUGAAUACAAACAGAAAACUGUACUUAAAAGAUAGUCGUAGACACUGUUUUGGCACCCCUGUGUUUGUGAACUCACAUUUUGUGUCACGGUUUUCUUUUGUUUGGUUGUAAUCACUGGUUCUAAUUUUACUUUGGUUAUUUUCACUAAUUGUCACCUUCCUGAUCAAUAGAAUUGUCUAUGGUCCUGUGUUUAGUCAGUUAAUUACCAACCAGCAUGUUUAAUUCUCCAGUUCUUUGUCAGAUUGUCUUGUUUUUAAUAGUCAAUCAUUUCAGCAUUUCUUGAUUUCCUGGUGUUUUUUUUCCCUUGAGUUAUUGAUUAAGCUGUGCGUGACCCUUGGACUGUUCUCAGGUUUCCCCCUUUUUCCUGUGUUUUACUAGUUUGGAUUAAAGAUUAAUUAAUUUUAGUUUUAUCUUUUGAUCAUACAAUAUCAUGUGCCUUUUUUCAGUGAUGUUUUACGACCUAAUUUGAGUUUUUAGUUUAGUUUUAGUUAAGUACGUUAACCUUGAAUGGGACCAUGCUUUACAAAAUGGUCAUAUUGCUUGUAUGAAAUUUGAAACUUGUAACUGAGACCAUGAGCUCAUUAGAAAUGUGUUUGCUGAGGUCAUAAAUCAAGAUGUAAGCAGAUUUUGUGUUCUUGUAUAUGUCCAUACAACCAGACUUACUCAAUACAUGAAAAAUUAAUUCAUCUUGCAGCUGUUAGGAAACCAGUUUCUCUUAUCAUUACAGCAGCUACU